This is a long non-coding RNA of Bufo gargarizans (Asiatic toad), 1594 nucleotides long. RefSeq lists it as uncharacterized. NCBI's taxonomy places the organism in Eukaryota, Metazoa, Chordata, Amphibia, Anura, Bufonidae. The transcript has 14 exons. The record is from RefSeq and is a predicted model, not a curated record.
AAUAAAAAGCAUAAAACUAUACAUUACUGGACUUUAUCAUUGAUAAUCUAGAUAAUAAUAACAACUUACCCUUUCAACACACUGUUUUAUAGGAAUCACCCGAUGUUACUUUGUCCUUGAAGAUGAAUUAGCUUCUAUUGAUAUGAUGUUCACCUAUAGGAUCCACCCAUUGCAUGGACUGGGCCCAAGGAAUCACCCGAUGUUACUUUGUCCUUGAAGAUGAAUUAGCUUCUAUUGAUAUGAUGUUCACCUAUAGGAUCCACCCAUUGCAUGGACUGGGCCCAAGGAAUCACCCGAUGUUACUUUGUCCUUGAAGAUGAAUUAGCUUCUAUUGAUAUGAUGUUCACCUAUAGGAUCCACCCAUUGCAUGGACUGGGCCCAAGGAAUCACCCGAUGUUACUUUGUCCUUGAAGAUGAAUUAGCUUCUAUUGAUAUGAUGUUCACCUAUAGGAUCCACCCAUUGCAUGGACUGGGCCCAAGGAAUCACCCGAUGUUACUUUGUCCUUGAAGAUGAAUUAGCUUCUAUUGAUAUGAUGUUCACCUAUAGGAUCCAUCCAUUGCAUGGACUGGGCCCAAGGAAUCACCCGAUGUUACUUUGUCCUUGAAGAUGAAUUAGCUUCUAUUGAUAUGAUGUUCACCUAUAGGAUCCAUCCAUUGCAUGGACUGGGCCCAAGGAAUCACCCGAUGUUACUUUGUCCUUGAAGAUGAAUUAGCUUCUAUUGAUAUGAUGUUCACCUAUAGGAUCCAUCCAUUGCAUGGACUGGGCCCAAGGAAUCACCCGAUGUUACUUUGUCCUUGAAGAUGAAUUAGCUUCUAUUGAUAUGGUCUUCACCUAUAGGAUCCAUCCAUUGCAUGGACUGGGCCCAAGGAAUCACCCGAUGUUACUUUGUCCUUGAAGAUGAAUUAGCUUCUAUUGAUAUGGUCUUCACCUAUAGGAUCCAUCCAUUGCAUGGACUGGGCCCAAGGAAUCACCCGAUGUUACUUUGUCCUUGAAGAUGAAUUAGCUUCUAUUGAUAUGGUCUUCACCUAUAGGAUCCAUCCAUUGCAUGGACUGGGCCCAAGGAAUCACCCGAUGUUACUUUGUCCUUGAAGAUGAAUUAGCUUCUAUUGAUAUGGUCUUCACCUAUAGGAUCCAUCCAUUGCAUGGACUGGGCCCAAGGAAUCACCCGAUGUUACUUUGUCCUUGAAGAUGAAUUAGCUUCUAUUGAUAUGAUGUUCACCUAUAGGAUCCAUCCAUUGCAUGGACUGGGCCCAAGGAAUCACCCGAUGUUACUUUGUCCUUGAAGAUGAAUUAGCUUCUAUUGAUAUGAUGUUCACCUAUAGGAUCCAUCCAUUGCAUGGACUGGGCCCAAGGAAUCACCCGAUGUUACUUUGUCCUUGAAGAUGAAUUAGCUUCUAUUGAUAUGAUGUUCACCUAUAGGAUCCAUCCAUUGCAUGGACUGGGCCCAAGGUACUUAAACAUAGCAAUAAUAAGAUUUGCAUAUGUUCUUCACCUAUAGGACCCAUCCAUCUUAUGGACUCCCCCCUAGGUCUUAAAGAUAUCUCUAACAAGAUAUGAUCUUCACCUAUAGGACCCAUCAUUUUUUAGAUUGGG